Molecule: long non-coding RNA, 353 nt
Filed under: Manihot esculenta (cassava)
Lineage: Eukaryota; Viridiplantae; Streptophyta; Magnoliopsida; Malpighiales; Euphorbiaceae
Description: long non-coding RNA (MESC_LNC001194)
Source: RNAcentral
GGAUUAGUACUGUGCUUGGCCCUGAGACUUGGUUAGUCCCUGUUUAAUACAUGAUGUAUGUUAUGCUAGAUGUUGAGUUAUGUUUGAACUAAUCUUGUGGCAUGUGUUGUUUACCACGUUAUGUAAUGGAUGAGGACCCUAGAGGAGGUCUGAUGUUUGUGGUUUGAGGCAUGCACAGGUUAGGUUCUAGUUCUUGGAUGUAAUACCAGUUUGAUGUAUGUUAUGUUGACCCAGCUAGAGUUGUGAUGAGGGCUCUAGUAGGGGGUUCCUUUAUGUUUUCAGUUAUGUCGCAUACAGGUCAGGCUCGGUAUUUACAUCAUAUGUUUCAGUUUUUAUGUUAAAGUUUUGUUCAU